This 584-nucleotide ribosomal RNA is filed under the name Vreelandella titanicae. RNAcentral's name for it is "bacterial SSU rRNA". It matches the Rfam family "Bacterial small subunit ribosomal RNA", at positions 1 to 580 of the family's 1533-position model. Lineage: Bacteria; Pseudomonadati; Pseudomonadota; Gammaproteobacteria; Oceanospirillales; Halomonadaceae. The record is from RNAcentral.
UUAAACUGAAGAGUUUGAUCAUGGCUCAGAUUGAACGCUGGCGGCAGGCCUAACACAUGCAAGUCGAGCGGUAACAGGGGUAGCUUGCUACCCGCUGACGAGCGGCGGACGGGUGAGUAAUGCAUAGGAAUCUGCCCGAUAGUGGGGGAUAACCUGGGGAAACCCAGGCUAAUACCGCAUACGUCCUACGGGAGAAAGGGGGCUUCGGCUCCCGCUAUUGGAUGAGCCUAUGUCGGAUUAGCUAGUUGGUGAGGUAAUGGCUUACCAAGGCAACGAUCCGUAGCUGGUCUGAGAGGAUGAUCAGCCACAUCGGGACUGAGACACGGCCCGAACUCCUACGGGAGGCAGCAGUGGGGAAUAUUGGACAAUGGGGGCAACCCUGAUCCAGCCAUGCCGCGUGUGUGAAGAAGGCCCUCGGGUUGUAAAGCACUUUCAGCGAGGAAGAACGCCUAUCGGUUAAUACCCGGUAGGAAAGACAUCACUCGCAGAAGAAGCACCGGCUAACUCCGUGCCAGCAGCCGCGGUAAUACGGAGGGUGCAAGCGUUAAUCGGAAUUACUGGGCGUAAAGCGCGCGUAGGUGGCU